UGGAUUUUAAACUGACUGAGCGGCGGACGGGUGAGUAACGCGUGGAUAACCUGCCUCACACAGGGGGAUAACAGUUAGAAAUGACUGCUAAUACCGCAUAAGCGCACAGUACCGCAUGGUACAGUGUGAAAAACUCCGGUGGUGUGAGAUGGAUCCGCGUCUGAUUAGGUAGUUGGUGGGGUAACGGCCCACCAAGCCGACGAUCAGUAGCCGACCUGAGAGGGUGACCGGCCACAUUGGGACUGAGACACGGCCCAAACUCCUACGGGAGGCAGCAGUGGGGAAUAUUGCACAAUGGGCGAAAGCCUGAUGCAGCGACGCCGCGUGAGUGAAGAAGUAUCUCAGUAUGUAAAGCUCUAUCAGCAGGGAAGAAAAUGACGGUACCUGACUAAGAAGCCCCGGCUAACUACGUGCCAGCAGCCGCGGUAAUACGUAGGGGGCAAGCGUUAUCCGGAUUUACUGGGUGUAAAGGGAGCGCAGACGGCGAUGCAAGUCUGGAGUGAAAGCCCGGGGCUCAACCCCGGGACUGCUUUGGAAACUGUAUGGCUAGAGUGCUGGAGAGGCAAGCGGAAUUCCUAGUGUAGCGGUGAAAUGCGUAGAUAUUAGGAAGAACACCAGUGGCGAAGGCG
Molecule: ribosomal RNA, 629 nt
Filed under: uncultured Lachnospiraceae bacterium
Lineage: Bacteria; Bacillati; Bacillota; Clostridia; Lachnospirales; Lachnospiraceae
Description: bacterial SSU rRNA
Rfam family: Bacterial small subunit ribosomal RNA
Source: RNAcentral